UCACUGUUGCAGCCAGGGACUUCCAUGAGCGCCUACAGACUCUCAACAAAGCAGAUCCUCUGCAGGUUCGCAUCAUGAAUGAUCAGCUCAUGUAUCUGGAGAGAGCCUUCAUAGACCCCCUGGGCUUACCUGGCAGACCCUUCUACAGGCAUGUUAUUUUCGCUCCCAGCAGCCAUAAUAAAUACGCAGGAGAGUCUUUCCCCGGGAUCUUUGAUGCAUUGUUUGACAUCGAGAACUCAGCCAAUCCACAGAAGGCCUGGGAGGAAG
Molecule: long non-coding RNA, 267 nt
Organism: Epinephelus moara (kelp grouper)
Lineage: Eukaryota; Metazoa; Chordata; Actinopteri; Perciformes; Serranidae
Exons: 3
Source: RefSeq, a predicted model, not a curated record